This is a non-coding RNA of Pelobates cultripes (western spadefoot toad), 789 nucleotides long. The record is from the annotation of a GenBank genome assembly. NCBI's taxonomy places the organism in Eukaryota, Metazoa, Chordata, Amphibia, Anura, Pelobatidae.
UAUGUAACAGGGUUGAUGUUCCAGGAGGGAUAAGCCAAAUGACAAAUGAUUUAGGUAAACUAGAAAAAUGGUCAGAAUUGUGGCAACUGACAUUUAAUGUGGAUAAGUGCAAGAUAAUGCAUCUUGGAUGUAAAAACCCAAGGGCAGAGUACAGAAUAUUUGAUAGAGUUCUAACCUCAACAUAUGAAGAAAGGGAUUUAGGGGUGAUUAUUUCUGAUGACUUAAAGGUAGUCAGACAUUAUGGGCAAAUGCAAAUAUUACAAGUUUUAGAAUGAAAUGUUGUAUUUCUUAAACUGUGUACUUUGUCUUUAAGAGAGAUUGCAAACUGACAAGGUGUUAGAAAUGGAACAUAUUGUUUUUCAUAACUGUUUCUUUAAGCAAUAACCUCAGUGCAUAAUAUGUUUGCGCCAUUUUGUCCCAGACGAAUUACAAUAACAAUAAUGCAUAAACAAGCUUCAAGGCUAUACUACGACACUUGCAGUACACAAUAUACUGUGGUAACCCCAAGUUAAUGGAACUUCCCCAAAUCCGUGAAUCUCCCACGACUGUACACUUACGACUUAGUAUAAACAACAGAUAACCUAUUCAGACUUUAAGAUGCCAUCUUGAAUUAAGUCAGGAAAAUUUCCAUGACGUUUGCACCCUUUAGUUAUGGCCUUGUAUGUUUGCCAAAUUAAGGGAGGUCCUAAAUUGAAUAAAGUAAAAGAAGUGUUACUUUUUCAUAUUUGAACUACAGUAACCUAAAAUGGAGACACCUAAGGUAUAAAUAGGUGUACUUUUAAAUGUUAA